AUUUAUAUAGUUUAAUAAAAACAUUAUAUUUUCAAUAUAAAAAUAAAAUUUUAUAUUUUUAUAAAUA
This 67-nucleotide transfer RNA is filed under the name Hydroporus obscurus. RNAcentral describes it as "tRNA-Glu". The record is from RNAcentral. Lineage: Eukaryota; Metazoa; Arthropoda; Insecta; Coleoptera; Dytiscidae.